CUGGAGGUAUCAGAAGUGCGAAUGCUGACAUAAGUAACGAUAAAGCGGGUGAAAAGCCCGCUCGCCGGAAGACCAAGGGUUCCUGUCCAACGUUAAUCGGGGCAGGGUGAGUCGACCCCUAAGGCGAGGCCGAAAGGCGUAGUCGAUGGGAAACAGGUUAAUAUUCCUGUACUUGGUGUUACUGCGAAGGGGGGACGGAGAAGGCUAUGUUGGCCGGGCGACGGUUGUCCCGGUUUAAGCGUGUAGGCUGGUUUUCCAGGCAAAUCCGGAAAAUCAAGGCUGAGGCGUGAUGACGAGGCACUACGGUGCUGAAGCAACAAAUGCCCUGCUUCCAGGAAAAGCCUCUAAGCAUCAGGUAACAUCAAAUCGUACCCCAAACCGACACAGGUGGUCAGGUAGAGAAUACCAAGGCGCUUGAGAGAACUCGGGUGAAGGAACUAGGCAAAAUGGUGCCGUAACUUCGGGAGAAGGCACGCUGAUAUGUAGGUGAAGUCCCUCGCGGAUGGAGCUGAAAUCAGUCGAAGAUACCAGCUGGCUGCAACUGUUUAUUAAAAACACAGCACUGUGCAAACACGAAAGUGGACGUAUACGGUGUGACGCCUGCCCGGUGCCGGAAGGUUAAUUGAUGGGGUUAGCCGCAAGGCGAAGCUCUUGAUC
This 657-nucleotide ribosomal RNA is filed under the name Escherichia coli. Its description in RNAcentral is "partial 23S ribosomal RNA". It matches the Rfam family "Bacterial large subunit ribosomal RNA", at positions 1273 to 1913 of the family's 2925-position model. Lineage: Bacteria; Pseudomonadati; Pseudomonadota; Gammaproteobacteria; Enterobacterales; Enterobacteriaceae. The record is from RNAcentral.